UACGUAGGGGGCAAGCGUUGUCCGGAUUUAUUGGGCGUAAAGAGCUCGUAGGCGGUUUGGUAAGUCAGGUGUGAAAUCUCCACGCUCAACGUGGAGGGGCCACCUGAUACUGCCAUGACUGGAGUCCGGUAGAGGAGUGUGGAAUUCCCGGUGUAGCGGUGAAAUGCGCAGAUAUCAGGAGGAACACCGGUGGCGAAGGCGGGUCUCUGGGCCGAUACUGACGCUGAGGAGCGAAGGCGUGGGGAGCGAACAGG
Molecule: ribosomal RNA, 254 nt
Filed under: uncultured bacterium
Lineage: Bacteria
Description: partial 16S ribosomal RNA
Rfam family: Bacterial small subunit ribosomal RNA
Source: RNAcentral